UGGGGAAUAUUGCACAAUGGGCGAAAGCCUGAUGCAGCAACGCCGCGUGAGCGAUGAAGGCCUUUGGGUCGUAAAGCUCUGUCCUUGGGGAAGAAAAAAAUGACGGUACCCUUGGAGGAAGCCCCGGCUAACUACGUGCCAGCAGCCGCGGUAAUACGUAGGGGGCAAGCGUUAUCCGGAAUUAUUGGGCGUAAAGAGUGCGUAGGUGGUUUUGUAAGCGCGGGGUGAAAGGCAAUAGCUCAACUAUUGUAAGCCCUGCGAACUGUAAGACUUGAGUGCAGGAGAGGAGAGCGGAAUUCCUAGUGUAGCGGUGAAAUGCGUAGAUAUUAGGAGGAACACCAGUGGCGAAGGCGGCUUUCUGGACUGUAACUGACACUGAGGCACGAAAGCGUGGGGAGCAAACA
Molecule: ribosomal RNA, 404 nt
Filed under: uncultured bacterium
Lineage: Bacteria
Description: bacterial SSU rRNA
Rfam family: Bacterial small subunit ribosomal RNA
Source: RNAcentral